RNAcentral lists this small RNA (880 nucleotides) under Pan troglodytes (chimpanzee). RNAcentral describes it as "retained intron". The record is from RNAcentral. Lineage: Eukaryota; Metazoa; Chordata; Mammalia; Primates; Hominidae.
AGCUACUUCAAAGGCCGAUGUGAAUCACUGGAGCCCAGGAGGUGGAAGUUGCAGUGAGCCAUGAUGAUGUCACUGCACUCCAGCCUGGGUGACAGAGGGAGACCCUAUCUCAAAAAAAAAAAAAAAAAAUUGUUACGUUUAUAUUGUUGUUUACAAAAAUAUAUGGAAAAAGCCAGGCACGGUGGCUCACGCCUGUAAUCCUAGCACUUUGGGAGGCCGAGGCAGGUGUAUGACCUGAGGUCAAGAGUUUGAGAGCAGCCUGCCCAACAUGGCGAAACCUCGUCUCUACCAAAAAUACAAAAAAUUAGCCGGGCGCCUGUAAUCCCAGCUACUCGGGAGGGUGAGGCAGGAGAAUCGCGUGAACACGGGAGGCGGAGGUUGCAGUGAGCCGAGAUCGCUCCGCUCCACUGCACUCCAGCCUGGGCGACAGGAGCGAAACUCCGUCUCAAAAAAAAAAGGAAAAGCGUGGCCUGGGUGAGUGAAGGAGGGAAAGGAGGGCCUCAGACGUUGUGUCUGGGAUUCAGGAGAGAAGAUGACUGAGGAGGAGGUGGAGACCGUUCUGGCAGGACACGAGGACAGCAACGGCUGCAUCAACUACGAGGCCUUCUUGAAACACAUCCUAAGCGUCUGAGUGCUGCAGGUAGGGCCCUCCCACCCCUUCGCCGCGCCUUACGAGGCAAGUCUCCCGCCCUUCUCUCAGCCAGCAUAGAAAAGCAGCGGAGUUCAUUCUGCUGUCCGGUUGCUGCACGGGCUCCAGCGCUUCGCAACUUUGGUUUUUUUCCACAGAUCCAGUGGGGUCCGGACACUGGGCCCCGCAGGCGAAAGCACGUUCCAGCCACCAGGAGGCCACCUAUUGUUUCAAAAUAAAGACUGGGUUCCU